This 1018-nucleotide ribosomal RNA is filed under the name uncultured Pedobacter sp. RNAcentral's name for it is "bacterial SSU rRNA". It matches the Rfam family "Bacterial small subunit ribosomal RNA", at positions 378 to 1395 of the family's 1533-position model. Lineage: Bacteria; Pseudomonadati; Bacteroidota; Sphingobacteriia; Sphingobacteriales; Sphingobacteriaceae. The record is from RNAcentral.
CAAGCCUGAACCCAGCCAUGCCGCGUGCAGGAAGACGGCCCUCCCGGGUUGUAAACUGCUUUUAUACCGGAAUAAACCUUCCUACGUGUAGGGAGCUGAAUGUACGGUAGGAAUAAGGAUCGGCUAACUCCGUGCCAGCAGCCGCGGUAAUACGGAGGAUCCGAGCGUUAUCCGGAUUUAUUGGGUUUAAAGGGUGCGUAGGCGGCCUGUUAAGUCAGGGGUGAAAGACGGUGGCUCAACCAUCGCAGUGCCCUUGAUACUGACGGGCUUGAAUUAACUAGAGGCAGGCGGAAUGUGACAAGUAGCGGUGAAAUGCAUAGAUAUGUCACAGAACACCGAUUGCGAAGGCAGCUUGCUAUGGUUUUAUUGACGCUGAGGCACGAAAGCGUGGGGAUCAAACAGGAUUAGAUACCCUGGUAGUCCACGCCCUAAACGAUGAACACUCGCUGUUGGCGAUAUACGGUCAGCGGCUAAGCGAAAGCGUUAAGUGUUCCACCUGGGGAGUACGCCCGCAAGGGUGAAACUCAAAGGAAUUGACGGGGGCCCGCACAAGCGGAGGAGCAUGUGGUUUAAUUCGAUGAUACGCGAGGAACCUUACCCGGGCUUGAAAGUUAGUGAAUAACCUAGAGAUAGGUUAGUGAGCAAUCACACGAAACUAGGUGCUGCAUGGCUGUCGUCAGCUCGUGCCGUGAGGUGUUGGGUUAAGUCCCGCAACGAGCGCAACCCCUAUGUCUAGUUGCCAGCAUGUAAUGGUGGGGACUCUAGACAGACUGCCUGUGCAAACAGAGAGGAAGGAGGGGACGACGUCAAGUCAUCAUGGCCCUUACGUCCGGGGCUACACACGUGCUACAAUGGUCGGUACAGAGGGCAGCUAUUCAGCAAUGGAAUGCCAAUCUCAAAAAGCCGAUCACAGUUCGGAUAGAGGUCUGCAACUCGACCUCUUGAAGUUGGAUUCGCUAGUAAUCGCGUAUCAGCAAUGACGCGGUGAAUACGUUCCCGGGCCUUGUACACACCGCCC